CGGGAUUACCUCAGUAACGGCGAGUGAAGCGGUAAGAGCUCAAAUUUGAAAGCUGCCAACAGGUCGCAUUGUAAUUUGUAGAAGAUGCUUUGGGUGUUGGCCUAGUCUAAGUUCCUUGGAACAGGACGUCAUAGAGGGUGAGAAUCCCGUAUGUGAUUAGUGCCUUCCCCCGUGUAAAGCUCUUUCGACGAGUCGAGUUGUUUGGGAAUGCAGCUCAAAAUGGGUGGUAAAUUUCAUCUAAAGCUAAAUAUUGGCCAGAGACCGAUAGCGCACAAGUAGAGUGAUCGAAAGAUGAAAAGCACUUUGGAAAGAGAGUUAAACAGUACGUGAAAUUGUUGAAAGGGAAGCGCUUGCAAUCAGACUUGCAGGCGGUUGAUCAUCUGGGGUUCUCCCCAGUGCACUCGACCGUCUUCAGGCCAGCAUCAGUUCUUGUGGUGGGAUAAAGGCUGUGAGAAUGUGGCUCUUCGGAGUGUUAUAGCUCACGGUGCAAUGCCGCCUACGGGGACUGAGGACCGCGCUUCGGCUAGGAUGCUGGCGUAAUGGUUGUAAGCGACCCGUCUUGAAACACGGACCAAGGAGUCUAACAUCUAUGCGAGUGUUUGGGUGUCAAACCCAUACGCGUAAUGAAAGUGAACGGAGGUGAGAACCCUUUAGGGCGCAUCAUCGACCGAUCCUGAUGUCUUCGGAUGGAUUUGAGUAAGAGCAUAGCUGUUGGGACCCGAAAGAUGGUGAACUAUGCGUGAAUAGGGUGAAGCCAGAGGAAACUCUGGUGGAGGCUCGCAGCGGUUCUGACGUGCAAAUCGAUCGUCAAAUUUGCGUAUAGGGGCGAAAGACUAAUCGAACCAUCUAGUACUGGUCUCGAAAUU
This 866-nucleotide ribosomal RNA is filed under the name Pulvinata tomentosa. Its description in RNAcentral is "partial large subunit ribosomal RNA". It matches the Rfam family "Eukaryotic large subunit ribosomal RNA", at positions 70 to 968 of the family's 3401-position model. Lineage: Eukaryota; Fungi; Ascomycota; Leotiomycetes; Helotiales; Mollisiaceae. The record is from RNAcentral.